GACUGUUGUUACUAAUCUAGUUCACGUUCCUGCUGAAUGGAAGCAGCUCUAAGCAAAAGACAUGAGGCCUCAGCUGAAUUGAGGUGGCUUUGAGGUCAUCCGAUUUCUAGACGUGUGCGGUCACCUGGUCCUGAGAGCCCUCCACACAGAAUGGUUUGCAAUUUUUUUUGGUGAUGGCAUGUUCAGAAUCUUGGAUCCCUAAAUUGAAUGUUGGAAAU
Long non-coding RNA from Mus spicilegus (steppe mouse), 218 nucleotides. Lineage: Eukaryota; Metazoa; Chordata; Mammalia; Rodentia; Muridae. The record is from Ensembl.